GGGGGAUAUUGCACAAUGGAGGAAACUCUGAUGCAGCAACGCCGCGUGAGUGAUGAAGGUUUUCGGAUCGUAAAGCUCUGUUGCCAGGGAAGAACGUCCGUUAGAGUAACUGCUAACGGAGUGACGGUACCUGAGAAGAAAGCCCCGGCUAACUACGUGCCAGCAGCCGCGGUAAUACGUAGGGGGCGAGCGUUGUCCGGAAUUAUUGGGCGUAAAGCGCGCGCAGGCGGCUGUUUAAGUCUGGUGUUUAAUCCUGGGGCUCAACCCCGGGUCGCACUGGAAACUGGGCAGCUUGAGUGCAGAAGAGGAGAGUGGAAUUCCACGUGUAGCGGUGAAAUGCGUAGAGAUGUGGAGGAACACCAGUGGCGAAGGCGACUCUCUGGGCUGUAACUGACGCUGAGGCGCGAAAGCGUGGGGAGCAAAC
RNAcentral lists this ribosomal RNA (424 nucleotides) under uncultured bacterium. Its description in RNAcentral is "bacterial SSU rRNA". It matches the Rfam family "Bacterial small subunit ribosomal RNA", at positions 356 to 773 of the family's 1533-position model. The record is from RNAcentral.